RNAcentral lists this long non-coding RNA (1008 nucleotides) under Homo sapiens (human). Its description in RNAcentral is "non-protein coding lnc-TSC22D1-2:3". The record is from RNAcentral. Lineage: Eukaryota; Metazoa; Chordata; Mammalia; Primates; Hominidae.
GCGGCCCCUCCUGUGUUUGUCGGCCGGUGACCCACCCCAGCCCCGGGGAAGGGAUGAGGGCGGCCGCGCUUCAGGCCGGGCCGCGCGGUCUCCCCUGCACCGCCGCCCCCUGGACGAGGGCUGGACCCAAGGCGGUGGUCAGGGACCUCAGAACACAAGUAGAACCAGUCCAGGCCCGGGCCCGCGCUGCCCGGUUGUAGGGGUUGCAUUGGAAGAUGGGCCAGCGGCAGAGCGGAGCAUGCAGGAAAGAGGAAGAGGCCUUGGACCUGCAGCCCAGGUCGGAUUUGGUGGUUACUGUCUAAAUCUGAAGCUUUGGCCUGCCUUGACUCCCCACCCACCCAGGGCAGCUUGGACCUCUCUCUAGCCACCCUUGUCCCGAGGGGUCUGAGUGUCUCCCAGACUAAACUGGGCAUUUUCUGCAGUGGAAGGAUAAAAAUGGAAGCGUUUACGCGCCUCCCAGACACUGGUAUUAGGGCUCAAGAGCUCUACAGAUUGCCUGGGGAGGUAGGGGUGGAAGGGGUUCAGUUCCUCACUUGGAGUUAGCUCUUAGAAGCUCAGAAGAGUGGAGGCGAAGAGGGGACAUUCAGCCUGGGAGAUCUGGGGCAGCGGGAAGUGGGGAUACCGGGUCGGGGUGAAGGCAAGCAGCAGCACCCCCAGCAUGGGGAAGAAGGCCUGAGGCUGUCUCUGGCCACUGCAUCUCUAGGCCUUCUCUUGGAGCGGGAGGUGGCUGGGUUUCCAGGGAAUUUUGUGUGAGUAAAAUUUUCCCAUGUCAUUGGAGAGUUAGGAAGAGCUCCUCUUUUGGGGCCUUUUUCCAAGCGGGUCCCCCUCACCCCGCUACAGGCUUCUUGUCACUCAGGCUUCAAUAAAGGCCAUUCUGGGGGCUGCUUGCUGUAACCUAGAAGACAGAAUUGCCUAGGAUCAUUAGUAGAGUCAUUUUUUUUUUUUCCUACUCUACAGGCCAAUUAAUUUGAAACAAGCUUCUAUGGUCUUUUAACUGUUAGCAUCACC